Pteropus alecto (black flying fox) is the source of this 3182-nucleotide long non-coding RNA. RefSeq lists it as uncharacterized. The record is from RefSeq and is a predicted model, not a curated record. NCBI's taxonomy places the organism in Eukaryota, Metazoa, Chordata, Mammalia, Chiroptera, Pteropodidae. The transcript is spliced from 4 exons.
UUUCGAUUUGCGGAGUGGUUUGCUCGUGGAGUGACUCGUCGUUUGAUAAACUAAUAGAGAGUUCUCCUUGAAGGAGUUAUUAAUCCCUGUCGAGUCUUAAGAGUUACUUUCCUCAGGAACAAACCUCUUAAAGCAACUCAGCACCUUAAAAGGAUUUAGUGGAACCAAGUCUAGAACCUGUCCCACUAUGCUCUGCGGCAUUAACGGCCUUUGGCGGGAAAGAAUCCCGGGGGCGGGGUCAAAGGGGGUGGGACCGGCGGUUGCUCCGGAAACGGGGGCAUCCUUAGUGCGCCGAGUCCGGGACCGCGUUGUCCUUAAUCAAGAUCCAAGGCUUGACUGUGUCUUCCCUUUCCUGUGUGAACAAGAUGUAGGUUGAUUAGAUAAAUGUCUCAUUUAGGGGAACCCAGUAAAUAUUUAACUUUAAGUGUCCUUCCAACCUUAGGUUCAAAACUUAACUAUGUAUAGCUCAAUUCAUUCUUGUGCUAGUGGAGGUGAUUCGUGCCCUGAUCAAUCACUGGUGGUAUCUGCCAACCGGAACCCAAACCUCAGCUUCUCUCUUUAAUCGCCUAUUAUUAGGCUUAGCACAGAGUAGAGGUCCAGUGAAGGUUUACAGAACGAAUUGUGCAUGUUAUUUUCCCACCCUCUUUCAAAGAACGAGACAAAGUGUGUGCGUGUAUAAAAUCCUAAAGUUCGCUUCUUUUAACUCAUCGGGACUUUCGGGUAAUAUAAAUGAGCAAAAUGGAUAUGUGAGAAUUGUGAUUACUGGAGACCACAGUUGCUUGCUCAGAGCAGAUCCUGCUUCCAUGCUCACCCAAGGAGAUAAGAACUUUUUACAUUCUUUCCAGAGACAUCUAAAAUCUGAAUUUUUAUGUGAAAUGUUGGGAUUUAAAUAUUAGUAAUGAAUUCAAAUUCUUAAAAAACCCUGCAGUCAUAAGUGUGCUAAAACAAAUCUGCACCCUGACUUUAAGGAUGAUUUUCAUCAUAGCAUACAUUAAUUUGGAACAAUCCCUCUCCCCAAGAACAUGGGGCGGUUUGUAGAGCUGCCAUAAAACGUUAUUAAAACUGGAUGAAGAAAUGAGGGGGAAUGGGAAAAUAAGUCAUGGAUAAGGUUAGUACACAAAAUGCCUGCAGUAAUAGCCUGGUGAAUUCCUAGAGAUGAACUGCAAAUUUGACUGGUCAUCCCAGAAGUCACAGUAAAGAAGGAAAAACAAAUUUGUUCUAAAUCUAAAGUUCCUUUGAGAUGAAAAAAAAAAAUAGAUCGUUUAGGAGAAGGGUAUUAUUUCUUAGUUCUAGAAGUUGAUUGAACAUAGUUUACAAAUGUUUGGUAGUCCUUGAACAAUCUGUGCUGGUUUCCGAAAUUAUGUAUAUAUGUGCAUGUCCCUUUUUCUGCAAAGAGGAUUUGAAAUUUUAAUCAGAUUCUUAAAGGGGUCUGUAGAUCCCAAGAGGGAAAAGAACCUCUGAAAAUUUUAGAGGGAAAAACAGAUUGUCUAUCCUUUGACCAUCCUCAAUGAUAUUUUUCAAAACUGAUCUUUUAAUUAAAAAGGCAAGAACCUGAUAAUUUUUAAAUGAGUAGCUGAUCAAAAAGGAUACCGUUUUAACAAAUCUAUUUAGUUUCCAGCAUUGUCUUAUUUACUGAGCAUGUUAUCUUUCUGUUCUAACUUUUAUCCAUAAAUACAGAAUUAUUCAGAUUCACCUUCUGUUGAUUAAUGUUAAGUCAAUGAUAACUGAAGUGAUUUAAACAAAUGCAUUUAAUUUCAAAACAUUUUCAUUCCAGAAAAAUAAUAAAACUGUGAAUUUGCUUUGAUUUAAUGCAGUCAUUUCUGAUUUUGUUCAGUUCAGAAAAAUACAAGGUAGACUUUAAUAUAGAGUGAAUAGGACAUUCUUGUUUCUCUGUUGCUCUCUUUUAUUGUGUUUGAACAAAACCAAAUUAUAGGUUCGGGAGUCCAUGAUGAGGUCAGGAUGUAGCAGGAGAAGUCGGAAUGGCUGUUUAUUAAGGUCUCCCAGGAUGACAUUGGCUGGGUGAUUAUUCUAGUUAAGGUUGUGAUCUUAAUAUUAUUGGUGUACCAGAGUUGAUUAACAUAUUUUAUUUGACAAGAAAGCAAGUAAACCAAACCAUUUGUUCUUUUGUUGGGUGGUGGGGCGGAUUCAUUUUGGAUAACCAGGGCACUCAAAUUGCAUAUACCAAGAUAACUGUUUUGGCAGAUCUGGAAAGCAAAUCAGGCCAUUGCUUAAUAAAUGAGGAAUCAAAACAAAAUGAGGUGAACCGUUUUGAGAGAUAUUUCAUUCAGAUCUUGGUGAGACCUGAUAAAUGAUUCCUGCCCCACAACAGAGUAUAUCUUUUCAGUGACAGCAUAAUUCAUACCCACUGGAUUUUGUGUCUCUAUUCCUGGAUAGAGCUGGGUAAAAAUUAGCCAUUCUUUUUCUGUAGGCUAAUCUUCACGCAAACUUUCUCUGAACAGCAUGCGAGGCAAUUGAAUAGAUUUCUGCUGACUGAAUUACAACCUCUUGCAGUUUGGCCUCCUGAGAUUACAUCUUCAUCUUAAAAAGGAUGGACCUCAAUGAAGUGACAAUGCUGUGGAAGUCGGGAGCGCUGAAUCAGUCUGGGUCCUGUCGCUCCAGGUAGUGAGGAGAGUUGGAUGAAGGGGCUGUUUUCCAAGGUUCAGGAUGUUUCUGGAAGAGAUUAACAUUUGAAGCAGCAGACUGAGUAAAGAAGAUGGCCCUACCCAGUGCGAGUGGCAUCAAUCAUCCAACCUGUUGGAUGCCUGAAUAGAGCAAAAAUGUGGAGGAAGGGUGAAUUCUCCCUCUCUCUUUUUGAGCUGGGACGUCCAUCUUCUCCUGCCUGUGGCCAUAAGAACUCCUGGUUGUCAAGCCUUUGGACUUCACGACUUAUGCCAGUGGCUCCCUGGGUUCUCAGGCUUCUGGACUUGAACUGAAGUACAGCACCAGCUUUUCUGGUUUGCCAGCUUACAGAUGGCAGAUCAUAGGACCUCUUGGCUUCCAUAAUUGGGACCAAGUUGUAACCUUGAAGGCUGAGAGUCUUAAGACGAAGUUGACAUCAUGGAGAAGGGUGGAGAGACAAAAAGAAACAGCACAGAACAGACGGAUUGGACCUUGCAGGAAGCCUACCCUUCUUCAAACUUUUUUUUAUUGUCACAGAGCAAUAGAUUCCUUUUAUUGUUUAA